Molecule: ribosomal RNA, 253 nt
Filed under: uncultured bacterium
Lineage: Bacteria
Description: partial 16S ribosomal RNA
Rfam family: Bacterial small subunit ribosomal RNA
Source: RNAcentral
UACGUAGGGUGCAAGCGUUGUCCGGAAUUAUUGGGCGUAAAGAGCUCGUAGGCGGUCUGUCGCGUCUGCUGUGAAAUCUCCGGGCUUAACUCGGAACGGCCAAGUGAAACUGUCAAGCUAGAGUGCAGAAGGGGCAAUCGGAAUUCUUGGUGUAGCGGUGAAAUGCGUAGAUAUCAAGAGGAACACCUGAGGUGAAGACGGGUUGCUGGGCUGACACUGACGCUGAGGCGCGAAAGCCAGGGGAGCAAACGGG